Molecule: long non-coding RNA, 296 nt
Organism: Gekko japonicus
Lineage: Eukaryota; Metazoa; Chordata; Lepidosauria; Squamata; Gekkonidae
Exons: 4
Source: RefSeq, a predicted model, not a curated record
UGCCGCGUGGAUUGAGGAGCCUGCUGGUAGCGUAGGGAUGGAGGUGGCUGAAGGGGCGCUGAGUUAGGGGCUUCAGGGGCAAGGGGAGCCUUAGGCUUGCUUAUGGGUGGAAUUAUGCUGUAGCCUGAAAUGGGAUCCUGGAUUUACUGAGGAAUUAAGAAGUCUCUCUAGGAUGGCCAAGAUCUCUGGAGUAUGCCAUCUUUAAGUUACUUCUCACUCAUCCAUUUACUUGGAAGAUCUGGUAGACAAGUUUCUUUGCAAAAAGGGGACACCUUUGAAAUUGCCUAAUUUAGCAA